AUACUUGCCUGCGAGAUACCAUGAUCACAAAGGCAAUUUUCCAGGGUGUGGCUUAUCCAUUGCACUAAGGAAGUGCUGAUCCCUGAAAUUUCCCCAAAUGUGGGAAACUCAACUGCAUAAUUUGUGGUAGUGGGGGACAGUGUUUGCACUUUCCCGUA
RNAcentral lists this small nuclear RNA (158 nucleotides) under Microcebus murinus (gray mouse lemur). RNAcentral describes it as "U1 spliceosomal RNA (ENSMICG00000037630.2)". It matches the Rfam family "U1 spliceosomal RNA". From Rfam's summary of the family: U1 is a small nuclear RNA (snRNA) component of the spliceosome (involved in pre-mRNA splicing). Lineage: Eukaryota; Metazoa; Chordata; Mammalia; Primates; Cheirogaleidae. The record is from Rfam by way of RNAcentral.